This 349-nucleotide long non-coding RNA is filed under the name Mytilus galloprovincialis (Mediterranean mussel). Lineage: Eukaryota; Metazoa; Mollusca; Bivalvia; Mytilida; Mytilidae. The record is from RNAcentral.
GUGGAUCUCAAUUCAAAACUCUGGAUAAGAAAAAUACUUAACUUUUUAAGUAUAUGUUUAUCUUCAGUGGUCAUUCACCAUAAAAAUUUUGAUUUGCAGUCUAAGUUAUUAAAAUUUUGACAGUGCUCAUAAGCUUGUGCAAACAAUAAUUCCCGACAUUUAUUAUACAAUGGACAGUUUAUUAAAAAAUGAAACUCAUCUUCAAUAUCAUUAUGAGAACAAAAAUUACAAGUCCUCUGUGACCUUUCUAUAGGUUUGUUCUUAUGUCGCUCUUUUUCUACUCGUAAUUGGUGGGCAAUUAUGCGAAAUUUACAUAAAAUUUGUCUUGAUUGAAAACUUUGAAUAUCAA